Long non-coding RNA from Cyprinodon variegatus (sheepshead minnow), 1236 nucleotides. RefSeq lists it as uncharacterized. Lineage: Eukaryota; Metazoa; Chordata; Actinopteri; Cyprinodontiformes; Cyprinodontidae. The transcript is spliced from 3 exons. The record is from RefSeq and is a predicted model, not a curated record.
AAACAUCCUUCAUGGUGGAUAGUUUGGCUUGAUUUUAUGACUGAGUUAAAAUGAGCAAUAAAAACAGAGAGCAUUGGUUUAAACUGAGGACAUUCUUCACCUGCACAGACUUGUAUUUGGUUUUUCUGUGUGGUGUUUCUGGCCACCAUCUGCAGUGUUUAUAUGUGACACAGAGAGACAGCAGAAGUUUAUUAAAGCUGUUUUAUUUCAUGGCUCUCAUCAUGCAGCUGCUUCCUGUCCUGGCUGGGUGUGAGAGGAGGCCAGGCUGCUCCAGAUCUGCUCCAGUCUGUGGAGGCAGAUGGACCUGGAUCAGGCUCCACUAGGUGGGGCCUGUAGCUGCUCUCUGCUCUGCAGAGCUGAGGGGAGAGCAGAGCCGCUGGCAGACACUGAACUCCUCACUUCCUUUCUUUCUUUCUCCUCCAGCAGAGCAGCGGGGCUUCCUCAGCUGCGCGGCCGCCCCACAGCGCUCCCUGCGCGGACUGCUCCUGCAGCAGGCCCCGCUCCAUCGGAGGACACCAUAGAAAGUCCCAGAUCGGUCCGGUUCGGUACCGGCCCGUCCGCCUCCCAGGCUGCUUCUGGCGGACUGAACCAGCCCUCCUGCGACCGGAUACUAACCUCCACGCGUUGAAUGGCGGAUUAAUUUCAAAAAACGAGCAGAAAAAGAGGAAAUCUGUAACGGGAGUACUUACAAUCAUCCACCCGUCCGCUGUGCUGCGCCUCGCUCUCUCUCCUGCUGGCUGUGAUGCUCUCUCUACCAGAGCCGCUCCCUCCUGCCGCUUCAGCUCUCUGACGUCAAGUGUGACGUGACCCUGAAACGACGAACAACCAGCAUGUGUGGGAGGGAGCAGAGCAUGCCGGAGCGUGUUGACACCAACACGUCUCAACCCUCACACACGUGUCAUGUUCCUGUUGCUUACGAGUGCUCAGUUACUGAACCAAAUCUACGUCCAGCGGCCUGAAGCUGGAGUCCGAGCCGUCAGCUGACGCCCUGAAGAACAAGGUGUUUUCUGCAGAGAUCCAGUGUCGUGAAGCCACACCUAAACAGGAAGGAGUCACCAAGAAUAGAGUGGACCUCCACCCAACCAGCUUCCCUUCCACUGACACACACUUCCUCUAAGUCAGUUUGAUGCUUUAUGUAAAUUCCUGCUUUUGCUUUUUUUCAGUUAAAACAAAGAAAUCAGGAUUUUAAGUGAAGAAGUUAUUAAGACUCAUGUUUUUUUGGCUGUUUUCAAAACA